AUUGAACGCUGGCGGCAUGCCUUACACAUGCAAGUCGAACGGCAGCACGGGAGCAAUCCUGGUGGCGAGUGGCGAACGGGUGAGUAAUGUAUCGGAACGUGCCCAGUCGUGGGGGAUAACGUAGCGAAAGCUACGCUAAUACCGCAUACGAUCUGUGGAUGAAAGCGGGGGACCGUAUGGCCUCGCGCGAUUGGAGCGGCCGAUAUCAGAUUAGGUAGUUGGUGGGGUAAAGGCCUACCAAGCCGACGAUCUGUAGCUGGUCUGAGAGGACGACCAGCCACACUGGGACUGAGACACGGCCCAGACUCCUACGGGAGGCAGCAGUGGGGAAUUUUGGACAAUGGGCGCAAGCCUGAUCCAGCAAUGCCGCGUGCAGGAUGAAGGCCUUCGGGUCGUAAACUGCUUUUGUACGGAGCGAAAAGGCUCUCUCUAAUACAGGGGGCUCAUGACGGUACCGUAAGAAUAAGCACCGGCUAACUACGUGCCAGCAGCCGCCGUAA
RNAcentral lists this ribosomal RNA (500 nucleotides) under uncultured bacterium. RNAcentral describes it as "partial 16S ribosomal RNA". It matches the Rfam family "Bacterial small subunit ribosomal RNA", at positions 30 to 523 of the family's 1533-position model. The record is from RNAcentral.